Molecule: ribosomal RNA, 436 nt
Filed under: uncultured Oscillospiraceae bacterium
Lineage: Bacteria; Bacillati; Bacillota; Clostridia; Eubacteriales; Oscillospiraceae
Description: bacterial SSU rRNA
Rfam family: Bacterial small subunit ribosomal RNA
Source: RNAcentral
ACGGGAGGCAGCAGUGGGGAAUAUUGGGCAAUGGGCGCAAGCCUGACCCAGCGACGCCGCGUGAGGGAAGAAGGUCUUCGGAUUGUAAACCUUGAUCAUUGGGGAAGAAGAAAAUGACGGUACCCAAGGAGAAGCCACGGCUAACUACGUGCCAGCAGCCGCGGUAAUACGUAGGUGGCAAGCGUUAUCCGGAUUUACUGGGUGUAAAGGGUGUGUAGGCGGGUGUGCAAGUCAGAUGUGAAAACUAUGGGCUCAACUCAUAGCCUGCAUUUGAAACUGCAUAUCUUGAGAGUCGGAGAGGUAAACGGAAUUCCCGGUGUAGCGGUGAAAUGCGCAGAUAUCGGGAGGAACAUCGGUGGCGAAGGCGGUUUACUGGACGACAACUGACGCUGAGACACGAAAGCGUGGGGAGCAAACAGGAUUAGAUACCCUGGUA